This 463-nucleotide ribosomal RNA is filed under the name uncultured bacterium. Its description in RNAcentral is "bacterial SSU rRNA". It matches the Rfam family "Bacterial small subunit ribosomal RNA", at positions 30 to 490 of the family's 1533-position model. The record is from RNAcentral.
AUUGAACGCUGGCGGCAUGCCUUACACAUGCAAGUCGAACGGCAGCACGGGAGCAAUCCUGGUGGCGAGUGGCGAACGGGUGAGUAAUAUAUCGGAACGUGCCCAGUCGUGGGGAUAACGUAGCGAAAGCUACGCUAAUACCGCAUACGAUCUAUGGAUGAAAGCGGGGGGAUCGCAAGACCUCGCGCGAUUGGAGCGGCCGAUAUCAGAUUAGGUAGUUGGUGAGGUAAAGGCUCACCAAGCCGACGAUCUGUAGCUGGUCUGAGAGGACGACCAGCCACACUGGGACUGAGACACGGCCCAGACUCCUACGGGAGGCAGCAGUGGGGAAUUUUGGACAAUGGGCGCAAGCCUGAUCCAGCAAUGCCGCGUGCAGGAUGAAGGCCUUCGGUUGUAACUGCUUUGUACGGUACGAAAGGUUACUAUUAAUACUAGGAGCUCAUGACGGUACCGUAAGAAUAAG